RNAcentral lists this ribosomal RNA (441 nucleotides) under Bacillus sp. F365. RNAcentral describes it as "bacterial SSU rRNA". It matches the Rfam family "Bacterial small subunit ribosomal RNA", at positions 117 to 545 of the family's 1533-position model. The record is from RNAcentral. Lineage: Bacteria; Bacillati; Bacillota; Bacilli; Caryophanales; Bacillaceae.
GUGGGUCCCUGCCCUUAUACUGGGAUAACUCCGGGAAACCGGGGCUAAUACCGGAUAACAUUUUGAACUGCAUGGUUCGAAAUUGAAAGGCGGCUUCGGCUGUCACUUAUGGAUGGACCCGCGUCGCAUUAUCUAGUUGGUGAGGUAACGGCUCACCAAGGCAACGAUGCGUAGCCGACCUGAUAGGGUGAUCGGCCACACUGGGACUGAGACACGGCCCAGACUCCUACGGGAGGCAGCAGUAGGGAAUCUUCCGCAAUGGACGAAAGUCUGACGGAGCAACGCCGCGUGAGUGAUGAAGGCUUUCGGGUCGUAAAACUCUGUUGUUAGGGAAGAACAAGUGCUAUUUGAAUAAGCUGGCACCUUGACGGUACCUAACCAGAAAGCCACGGCUAAUUACGUGCCAGCAGCCGCGGUAAUACUUAGGUGGCAAGCGUUAUC